CAGCCGCCGCGGUAAUACAGAGGGUGCGAGCGUUAAUCGGAUUUACUGGGCGUAAAGCGUGCGUAGGCGGCUUUUUAAGUCGGAUGUGAAAUCCCUGAGCUUAACUUGGGAAUUGCAUUCGAUACUGGGAAGCUAGAGUAUGGGAGAGGAUGGUAGAAUUCCAGGUGUAGCGGUGAAAUGCGUAGAGAUCUGGAGGAAUACCGAUGGCGAAGGCAGCCAUCUGGCCUAAUACUGACGCUGAGGUACGAAAGCAUGGGGAGCAAACAGGAUUAGAUACCCCCGUAGUCCCUGUCUCUUAUAC
Molecule: ribosomal RNA, 301 nt
Filed under: uncultured bacterium
Lineage: Bacteria
Description: partial 16S ribosomal RNA
Rfam family: Bacterial small subunit ribosomal RNA
Source: RNAcentral